UUCCAAAUUUAAUUACUCUGUUAGUGUUAUUAGAUAUAUACUCUGUACCCUAAAAAUUAUAAUUAUGUUUGGCCGUGGAUUUCUAUGGUGGAAAUCGCGAAGCUAAGAAACAAUAAAAGAAAAAAAAGCUGUUCAUCUCACCUCCAUCGUUCUCUCUCUCUCUCUCUUGUCUCUGCCUCUUAUCUCUGUUCUGCUACCCAUCAGCUUCUCCCAAAGAGAAAGAGGACGGGACGGAGAGGGGGAGAAGUGAAGGGCGUGAAAGCGUUACUCCGGCGGCGCACGGUAGCACCGUGCCCCUUUUCCAACGCCGUAGUUCAUUUUCCACCGAUUCCUUUGUACUAUUUCUUUCCUAACAGAGGUCGCUUCCUUCCCACGGCAAAUUCCUCUUUGACACAGAGCCAAGAAAGAAAUCGAUUCUGUACUUGGCUUCUUACUCCAUAUUUGUUCAUUUUACCCUUUUGAACUCUGGCGGACCUAAAAGGAACCCUAUCGUUCCUUCGAUCCUCCCUCUCUAUAAUCUUAGCAGAUCGCUUCGAUUUCAAAUCUAAAAAAAAAAAGAGGAGAGGGAUUUACGGUAUUAAGAUGCUUUGGAUAAUGCGAUUUUCAGGGUUCUUUUCCGCUGCAAUGGUGAUGAUUGUUCUUUCUCCUUCACUCCAGUCAUUUCCUCCAGCUGAAGCCAUUAGAUCCUCUCACCUCGACAGCUACCUCCGGUUACCGUCAUAUCAGUUGUCCACUUCACCACACUCACUGGAGGACCGCUUCUCUUUUCGAAAAGCCUCCGAAUUUCGCAAUGCGGAUGAAUGUGGCUUCACCGGCCACAAAAUCACCGGCGUUUGCGAUCCUUCUUUAGUCCAUGUGGCUAUUACGCUCGAUGUCGAGUACCUCCGUGGCUCAAUCGCCGCCGUGCACUCCAUUCUCCAGCAUUCUUUGUGUCCGGAGAACAUUUUCUUCCAUUUCCUUGUCUCAGAGACCAAUCUGGAAACCCUGGUUCGAUCCACGUUCCCUCAAUUGAAGUUCAAGGUUUAUUAUUUCGAUCCUGAGAUUGUACGGAACUUAAUAUCUUCUUCCGUUAGGCAAGCGCUUGAACAGCCGUUAAAUUAUGCUAGAAAUUACUUAGCCGAUCUGCUGGAGCCGUGCGUACGGAGAGUGAUUUAUUUGGACUCUGAUCUAGUCGUUGUUGACGAUAUCUCUAAGCUGUGGAGUACCAACUUGGGUUCACGAACAAUCGGGGCACCGGAAUACUGCCACGCCAACUUCACAAAAUAUUUCACGGGCGGUUUCUGGUCGGACCAACGGCUUUCGGGGACGUUCAAUGGUAGGAAGCCGUGCUAUUUUAACACGGGGGUGAUGGUGAUAGAUCUGGUUAAGUGGAGGCGGGUCGGGUACACGAAGCGGAUCGAGAGGUGGAUGGAGAUCCAGAAAAGUGACCGGAUCUACGAGCUUGGCUCGUUGCCGCCGUUCUUGUUGGUUUUUGCGGGACGCGUGGCACCCAUCGAGCAUAGAUGGAACCAGCAUGGGCUGGGUGGGGACAAUGUGAGGGGAAGUUGUCGGGACUUGCACCCCGGUCCAGUUAGCCUCUUGCAUUGGUCCGGUAGCGGUAAGCCGUGGCUUAGACUGGAUUCGAAAAAGCCGUGUCCACUCGACGCUUUAUGGGCGCCUUAUGACUUGUACGGACACUCAGAAUGAAAUCACAGCAGGCAUAGUCGCCGGUUAUAGUGGAGGGCGAUCGCUGGAUCACAUGGAUUUUUCUUUCUUAGACAGGAUGGUACGGUGGUAGGCCAUUUUGGCAAAAAUAUGGUGCAGUGUUAUAGGUGGAGUGCCAUGAGCAAAGAAGUGGACUUGGAAGGGGGCAUGUGAGCUUUAAUUGCCAGUUGGUUGUCCAUUUACAAAAUAUGGCCAAAAGGGACCGAAUUUAGGGGGUGCGGUACCGGCUGGAGAAGUAAUUUAGACAUUGGAAGAAUCUAAAAGAGUUUUGGAUUGCCACUUACUUCAUUGAGACUGUAAAUUCUUUUUUUUUUUUUGGUGGCAUUGUGCUUGGUGGCAGCGGCGGAAGACUUGUGAGCUACCUCCCCACACUGUCCCUUGCGCACUUGGGUGGCAAUCACAUAUUCUCCCUUUGGCGUCAGAUUUGUGUGUUGCAAUUUCCUGGUAAUUUUUAUUAUUUUUUAAUACUUCAAAUAAAAGGAUACAUACAUACUUCUAUUAUUAUAAUAAUUGUAUUAUCCACCGAAUAAAUUUAUGGCAAUGAUUAGUGGCAA
Molecule: RNA transcript, 2258 nt
Organism: Theobroma cacao (cacao)
Lineage: Eukaryota; Viridiplantae; Streptophyta; Magnoliopsida; Malvales; Malvaceae
Gene name: putative galacturonosyltransferase-like 7
Source: RefSeq, a predicted model, not a curated record